UGCGUGCUGCAGUGUGUGAAAAUAUUGGUCUUUAUAUGGAGAAGGAGGAAGAACUGUUUCAGAAGUAUCUAAGCGGGUUUGUUGAGGCUGUAUGGAGUCUUCUUGUGGCUUCAUCUGCAUCUUCUAGUAGGGAACGACUUACUGUUACUGCAAUCAAGUUCUUAACCACUGUUAGUACUAGCGUGCAUCAUAUUUUGUUUGAAAGAGAUGACAUUCUGGAGCAGAUUUGUCAGAGUAUUGUAAUUCCCAAUGUGAUGCUGAGAGACGAGGAUGAAGAGUUGUUUGAAAUGAACUAUAUUGAGUUUAUUAGACGGGAUAUGGAAGGGAGUGAUCUUGAUACAAGGAGGAGGAUCGCAUGUGAACUGCUCAAGGGCAUUGGUAUGCAUUACAAAGACAAGGUCACAGCGAAGGUGUCCCUUCAGAUACAAAAUUGCUUGGGCUUGUUUUCCCAGAAUCCGGAUGCAAAUUGGAAAUAUAAGGAUUGUGCUAUCUAUUUGGUUGUCUCCCUUGCCACUAAGAAGGCAGGUGGUAGUUCAGUAUCAACUGAUCUUGUAGAUGUUGAGAACUUUUUCGGGUCAGUUAUUGUACCAGAGUUGCAAAGUAGGGAUGUGAAUGCCUUUCCAAUGUUGAAGGCAGG
This 637-nucleotide unclassified non-coding RNA is filed under the name Hevea brasiliensis (rubber tree). The record is from RNAcentral. Lineage: Eukaryota; Viridiplantae; Streptophyta; Magnoliopsida; Malpighiales; Euphorbiaceae.